This 224-nucleotide ribosomal RNA is filed under the name uncultured bacterium. RNAcentral describes it as "partial 16S ribosomal RNA". It matches the Rfam family "Bacterial small subunit ribosomal RNA", at positions 524 to 743 of the family's 1533-position model. The record is from RNAcentral.
UACAGAGGGGGCAAGCGUUGUUCGGAAUUACUGGGCGUAAAGGGCGCGUAGGCGGCCUGUUAAGUCGAACGUGAAAUCCCCGGGCUCAACCCGGGAACUGCGUCCGAUACUGGCAGGCUUGAAUUCGGGAGAGGGAUGUGGAAUUACCAGGUGUAGCGGUGAAAUGGCGUAGGAAUAUCUGGAGGAACACCGGUGGCGGAAGGCACGGCGAUGCCUAGGACCGG